RNAcentral lists this ribosomal RNA (430 nucleotides) under uncultured bacterium. RNAcentral's name for it is "bacterial SSU rRNA". It matches the Rfam family "Bacterial small subunit ribosomal RNA", at positions 355 to 776 of the family's 1533-position model. The record is from RNAcentral.
UAGGGAAUAUUGCGCAAUGGACGAAAGUCUGACGCAGCAAUACCGCGUGGGUGAGGAAGGUCUUCGGAUUGUAAAGCCCUGUCGAGGUGGAAAAACGAUCAAGAGUCUAAUAGGCUUUUGAUGUGAUGGUACACCUGAAGGAAGCACCGGCUAACUUCGUGCCAGCAGCCGCGGUAAUACGAAGGGUGCAAGCGUUGUUCGGAUUUAUUGGGCGUAAAGCGCACGUAGGCGGAUCAUUAAGCCAGAUGUGAAAUCUCGGGGCUCAACCUCGAAACUGCGUCUGGAACUGGCGAUCUUGAAUAUUGGAGAGGGAAGGGGAAUUUCUCAUGUAGGGGUAAAAUCCGUAGAGAUGAGAAGGAACACCGGAGGCGAAAGCGCCUUCCUGGACAAUUAUUGACGCUGAGGUGCGAGAGCGUGGGGAGCAAACAGG